UUUGAACCAUUGGAUCGUAGUUA
RNAcentral lists this microRNA (23 nucleotides) under Prunus persica (peach). RNAcentral's name for it is "ppe-miR6286". Lineage: Eukaryota; Viridiplantae; Streptophyta; Magnoliopsida; Rosales; Rosaceae. The record is from miRBase by way of RNAcentral.